GGAAACGUGACCGAGUGGCCGAAGGUGCUCCCCUGCUAAGGGAGUAGGGGGUGUAGAGCCUCCUCGAGAGUUCGAAUCUCUCCGUUUCCGCCA
RNAcentral lists this transfer RNA (93 nucleotides) under Rhodoferax sp. RNAcentral's name for it is "tRNA-Ser". It matches the Rfam family "tRNA". Rfam says of the family: Transfer RNA (tRNA) molecules are approximately 80 nucleotides in length. Their secondary structure includes four short double-helical elements and three loops (D, anti-codon, and T loops). Further hydrogen bonds mediate the characteristic L-shaped molecular structure. tRNAs have two regions of fundamental functional importance: the anti-codon, which is responsible for specific mRNA codon recognition, and the 3' end, to which the tRNAs corresponding amino acid is attached (by aminoacyl-tRNA synthetases). tRNAs cope with the degeneracy of the genetic code in two manners: having more than one tRNA (with a specific anti-codon) for a particular amino acid; and 'wobble' base-pairing, i.e. permitting non-standard base-pairing at the 3rd anti-codon position. RNAcentral also lists the same sequence under 1 other name. Lineage: Bacteria; Pseudomonadati; Pseudomonadota; Betaproteobacteria; Burkholderiales; Comamonadaceae. The record is from RNAcentral.